AUUGAACGCUGGCGGCAGGCCUAACACAUGCAAGUCGAGCGGAGCGGCGGACGGGGGAGUAAUGCCUAGGAAUCUGACUGGUAGUGGGGGAUAACGUCCGGAAACGGGCGCUAAUACCGAAUACUAUCAACUGAGACUAGGUCGGAUUAGCUAGGCGGUGGGGUAAAGGCCUACCAAGGCGACGAUCCGUAACUGGUCUGAGAGGAUGCGCAGUCACACUGUAACUGAGACACGUGCCAGACUCCUACGGUAGGCAGCAGUGGGGAAUAUUGGACAAUGGGCGAAAGCCUGAUCCAGCCAUGCCGCGUGUGUGAAGAAGGUCUUCGGAUUGUAAAGCACUUUAAGUUGGGAGGCGUUACCAACAGAAUAAGCACCGGCUAACUUCGUGCCAGCAGCCGCGGUAAUUC
This 407-nucleotide ribosomal RNA is filed under the name uncultured bacterium. RNAcentral describes it as "partial 16S ribosomal RNA". It matches the Rfam family "Bacterial small subunit ribosomal RNA", at positions 30 to 526 of the family's 1533-position model. The record is from RNAcentral.